AAUUUAAAUCUCAGCAGUGGUUUUACCUCGGGAGUGACAACAAAAGGGAAUAAAAUUUCAAUUUUGGCUUUUGAAGUUGCUAAUACAAUUGUUAAGGGUGCCAAUCUGAUGCAAUCCCUUUCAAAAGAAAAUAUUAAGCAUUUAAAAGAGGUUGUGCUUCCCUCAGAAGGGGUGCAAAAUUUAAUAUCAAGAGAUAUGGAAGAACUCUUGAGGAUUGCAGCUGCUGACAAGAGAGAAGAAUUGAAAGUUUUUUCUGGAGAAGUGGUACGUUUUGGAAAUCGUUGUAAAGAUCCUCAAUGGCACAACUUGGACCGUUA
Molecule: unclassified non-coding RNA, 317 nt
Filed under: Hevea brasiliensis (rubber tree)
Lineage: Eukaryota; Viridiplantae; Streptophyta; Magnoliopsida; Malpighiales; Euphorbiaceae
Source: RNAcentral